CCUUACUCCUACGGGAGGCAGCAGUGGGGAAUAUUGCACAAUGGGCGCAAGCCUGAUGCAGCGACGCCGCGUGAGGGAUGACGGCCUUCGGGUUGUAAACCUCUUUCAGCAGGGAAGAAGCGCGAGUGACGGUACCUGCAGAAGAAGCACCGGCUAACUACGUGCCAGCAGCCGCGGUAAUUAUAGC
RNAcentral lists this ribosomal RNA (187 nucleotides) under uncultured bacterium. Its description in RNAcentral is "partial 16S ribosomal RNA". It matches the Rfam family "Bacterial small subunit ribosomal RNA", at positions 331 to 531 of the family's 1533-position model. The record is from RNAcentral.